AUACUUACCUGGCAGGGGAGAUACCAUGAUCACGAAGGUGGUUUUCCCAGGGUUAUCCAUUGCACUCUGGAUGUGCUGACCCCUGCAAUUUCCCCAAAUGUGGGAAAGUCGACUGCAUAAUUUAUGAUAGUGGGGUACUGCAUUUGUGCUUUUCCCUG
Cebus imitator (Panamanian white-faced capuchin) is the source of this 158-nucleotide small nuclear RNA. Its record names the gene U1. It matches the Rfam family "U1 spliceosomal RNA". Rfam says of the family: U1 is a small nuclear RNA (snRNA) component of the spliceosome (involved in pre-mRNA splicing). Its 5' end forms complementary base pairs with the 5' splice junction, thus defining the 5' donor site of an intron. Lineage: Eukaryota; Metazoa; Chordata; Mammalia; Primates; Cebidae. The record is from Ensembl.